GUGCCAGCCGCCGCGGUAAAACGUAGGGGACGAGCGUUAUCCGGAUUUACUGGGCGUAAAGCGCAUGUAGGUGGCUUGAAAAGUUGGACGUGAAAGCUCCUGGCUUAACUGGGAGAGGUCGUACAAAACUAGCAAGCUUGAGGUUGGAAGAGGAGAGCAGAAUUCCCGGUGUAGUGGUGGAAUGCGUAGAUAUCGGGAGGAAUACCAGUGGCGAAAGCGGCUCUCUGGUUCAAUACUGACACUGAGAUGCGAAAGCGUGGGGAGCGAACGGGAUUAGAAACCCUGGUAGUCC
RNAcentral lists this ribosomal RNA (292 nucleotides) under uncultured bacterium. Its description in RNAcentral is "partial 16S ribosomal RNA". It matches the Rfam family "Bacterial small subunit ribosomal RNA", at positions 505 to 796 of the family's 1533-position model. The record is from RNAcentral.